Molecule: small RNA, 30 nt
Filed under: Bombyx mori (domestic silkworm)
Lineage: Eukaryota; Metazoa; Arthropoda; Insecta; Lepidoptera; Bombycidae
Description: ovarian small RNA-3330
Source: RNAcentral
UCCAUGGAAGCGAAGGAUAUGUUGUCCUGC